This 399-nucleotide transfer-messenger RNA is filed under the name uncultured Prevotella sp. It matches the Rfam family "transfer-messenger RNA". Rfam says of the family: Bacterial tmRNA, also known as 10Sa RNA or SsrA, is named for its dual tRNA and mRNA-like properties. Its role is to liberate the mRNA from a stalled ribosome. Lineage: Bacteria; Pseudomonadati; Bacteroidota; Bacteroidia; Bacteroidales; Prevotellaceae. The record is from RNAcentral.
GGGGUUGACUGGAUUUGACAGCGGGUAGAAAUGGUACGUAAGCAUGCGGAGUGACGGCUGUAUACUCCAUAAUCCAUUCGGUCGAAAAUUUAAUUGGCAACAAUCAGUAUGCUCUCGCUGCUUAAUCGAAGCACAGUAGAUUGAAAGCUUAAUUCCUCUGCCAGGCGGAGGAACGAGACGUCGCUCAAGGGAUGUUGUUCCGAAUCUUCUUGGUUCAGCGGCGCAGGAAAAUCGGGAAUAGUCUGUUGGAAGUCCCGGCCAGCGGAUGAAAUAAAGGGACUAAGGUGAUGGAUGGGUGGUCCAGGUCUUGCCAUCGCACGAAAAUGAAGUCUGGAAUAAGCAUGUAGAAAGCGUAUGGUUUCCCUGUUUGGACGAGGGUUCGACUCCCUCCAGCUCCAC